RNAcentral lists this ribosomal RNA (776 nucleotides) under uncultured Neocallimastigales. RNAcentral's name for it is "partial large subunit ribosomal RNA". It matches the Rfam family "Eukaryotic large subunit ribosomal RNA", at positions 24 to 616 of the family's 3401-position model. The record is from RNAcentral. Lineage: Eukaryota; Fungi; Neocallimastigomycota; Neocallimastigomycetes; Neocallimastigales.
GCGCAUCUGUGCAUGCAGCAUAUCAAUAAGCGGAGGAAAAGAAACUAACAAGGAUUCCCCUAGUAACGGCGAGUGAAGCGGGAAGAGCUCAAAUUUGAAAUCUUAAAGGGUUUCCCUUUACGAAUUGUAGUUUAAAGAAGUGUUUUCUGUUGAGGUUUUGGUAAAAGUUCUUUGGAAUAGGACAUCAUAGAGGGUGAGAAUCCCGUAUUUGACCUUUACUUUCAACUUUGUGAUACACUUUCAAAGAGUCGGAUUGUUUGGGAAUGCAGUCCCAAAAUGGGUGGUAAAUUUCAUCUAAAGCUAAAUAUUGGCGAGAGACCGAUAGCGAACAAGUACCGUGAGGGAAAGAUGAAAAGAACUUUGAAAAGAGAGUUAAACAGUACGUGAAAUUGUCAAAAGGGAAGCGUUUGACACCAGUGUUGUUUUUCUGAAAAUCAAUUAAAGAACUGUUUAUGCUAAGCUGUUUAGACUUUAUUAGCUAACUGUUUAGUUUUGAGCUUUUCUUUAAUGCACUUUUCAGUUAACAAGUCAACAUCAAUUUCUUUUGCUGUAAAAAAGCUUGAGGAAGGUGGCUUGAGAUUCGUCUUAAGUGUUUAUAGCCUCUUGCCUAUGCAGUCGGAGAGAUUGAGGUCUGCAGCGUAGAUCCUUCGGGGCUAAAUGCAUUUGUGCUAAGUUAUAGCAUUUUAUAGACAACUUGUUGACUAUGAUUUGUCUUGUAGCUUACUCGCUUAUGUUAUUUUACCUACGCUUAGGAUGUUGAGCGCAUGUCUCUCUCU